GACGAACGCUGGCGGCGUGCUUAACACAUGCAAGUCGAACGGAAAGGCCCUGCUUUUGUGGGGUGCUCGAGUGGCGAACGGGUGAGUAACACUUGAGUAACCUGCCCUUGACUUUUGGAUAACUUCAGGAAACUGGGGCUAAUACCGGAUAGGAGCUCCUGCUGCAUGGUGGGGGUUGGAAAGUUUCGGCGGUUGGGGAUGGACUCGCGGCUUAUCAGCUUGUUGGUGGGGUAGUGGCUUACCAAGGCUUUGACGGGUAGCCGGCCUGAGAGGGUGACCGGCCACAUUGGGACUGAGAUACGGCACAGACUACUACGGGAGGCAGCAGUGGGGAAUAUUGCACAAUGGGCGGAAGCCUGAUGCAGCAACGCCGCGUGCGGGAUGACGGCCUUCGGGUUGUAAACCGCUUUCGCCUGUGACGAAGCGUGAGUGACGGUAAUGGGUAAAGAAGCACCGGCUAACUACGUG
RNAcentral lists this ribosomal RNA (468 nucleotides) under uncultured bacterium. Its description in RNAcentral is "partial 16S ribosomal RNA". It matches the Rfam family "Bacterial small subunit ribosomal RNA", at positions 28 to 507 of the family's 1533-position model. The record is from RNAcentral.